CCCUUAGAUGUUCUGGGCCGCACGCGCGCUACACUGACGAAUGCAACGAGCUUAUAACCUUGGCCGAAAGGUCUGGGUAAUCUCCAAAUUUCGUCGUGAUGGGGAUAGAUUAUUGCAAUUAUUAAUCUUCAACGAGGAAUGCCUAGUAAGCGCAAGUCAUCAGCUUGCAUUGAUUACGUCCCUGCCCUUUGUACACACCGCCCGUCGCACCUACCGAUUGAAUGGUCCGGUGAAAUCUCCGGACUGGCGUGAGUCGGAGCAAUCUGACAAACACCGGAAAGUUGAUUAAACCUUACCAUUUAGAGGAAGGUGAAGUCGUAACA
Molecule: ribosomal RNA, 323 nt
Filed under: uncultured eukaryote
Lineage: Eukaryota
Description: partial 18S ribosomal RNA
Rfam family: Eukaryotic small subunit ribosomal RNA
Source: RNAcentral